RNAcentral lists this ribosomal RNA (530 nucleotides) under uncultured bacterium. Its description in RNAcentral is "bacterial SSU rRNA". It matches the Rfam family "Bacterial small subunit ribosomal RNA", at positions 994 to 1525 of the family's 1533-position model. The record is from RNAcentral.
ACAACAUGUGAAAGCAUGCGACUCUUCGGAGGCGUUACACAGGUGCUGCAUGGCCGUCGUCAGCUCGUGUCGUGAGAUGUUUGGUUAAGUCCAGCAACGAGCGCAACCCCUGUUGCCAGUUACCAGCACGUGAAGGUGGGGACUCUGGCGAGACUGCCCAGAUCAACUGGGAGGAAGGUGGGGACGACGUCAGGUCAGUAUGGCCCUUAUGCCCAGGGCUGCACACGUACUACAAUGCCCAGUACAGAGGGGGCCGAAGCCGCGAGGCGGAGGAAAUCCUAAAACUGGGCCCAGUUCGGACUGUAGGCUGCAACCCGCCUACACGAAGCCGGAAUCGCUAGUAAUGGCGCAUCAGCUACGGCGCCGUGAAUACGUUCCCGGGUCUUGUACACACCGCCCGUCACAUCAUGGGAGCCGGUCGCACCCGAAGUAUCUGAAGCCAACCGCAAGGAGGCAGGGUCCUAAGGUGAGACUGGUAACUGGGAUGAAGUCGUAACAAGGUAGCCGUAGGGGAACCUGCGGUUGGAUCA